This 31-nucleotide non-coding RNA is filed under the name Mus musculus (house mouse). The record is from RNAcentral. Lineage: Eukaryota; Metazoa; Chordata; Mammalia; Rodentia; Muridae. RNAcentral also lists the same sequence under 1 other name.
UAAAAGACACUAAACAACGUUGACAGAGAAG